RNAcentral lists this ribosomal RNA (253 nucleotides) under uncultured bacterium. RNAcentral describes it as "partial 16S ribosomal RNA". It matches the Rfam family "Bacterial small subunit ribosomal RNA", at positions 524 to 776 of the family's 1533-position model. The record is from RNAcentral.
UACGAGUGCCUCAAGCGUUAUCCGGAAUCAUUGGGCGUAAAGGAUGUGUAGGUGGCCCUGUUAGUCUCUCGUUAAAUUUUGCGGCUUAACCGUAAACAUGCGGGGGAAACGGCAGGACUUGAGGGUGCAAGGGGUCUCUGGAACUCUAGGUGUAGUGGUGAAAUGCGUAGAGAUCAGGAGGAACACCGGUGGCGAAGGCGGCCUACUGGGCCAGCACUGACGCUGAGGCGCGAAAGCUCGGGGAGCGAACGGG